RNA transcript from Lotus japonicus, 2160 nucleotides. It is a transcript of the gene named protein WHAT'S THIS FACTOR 9, mitochondrial, with no coding region annotated. The transcript is spliced from 3 exons. The record is from RefSeq and is a predicted model, not a curated record. Lineage: Eukaryota; Viridiplantae; Streptophyta; Magnoliopsida; Fabales; Fabaceae.
UUUAAUAUAUAUUUUUUUAGAUAUUUUUAAACAAACCUAAAUCCUAACGAAACAGAGACGAGAGCAAACCCAAUCCAAUCCUCGUACCGAUGAAGCAGCUGACAACAGUGAUGGUGUAGCACAUGGGCAGUGUGAUUCUCCAAUCUUUGAGUUCAAGCUCCCAAUGAUUCUCAGUUAGUUUCAGCAUUUUUUGAAGCAAAGUGUGGAUUCUGGUACCUACAAGGACAAAAGGGCAUCAACCUGUGCUGGUUAUGCGAUCCAUAACUAUUUUGUGUGAUGUUUCGUUGGUUAUUUGGAACUGCGAGAAAUUGCGGGUUCCUUCAUGGUUGUCAACAAGAAUACAUUUACCAGCAGAAGUUUAGUCUGGUGAACAUAAAGUUGAAAUGGGUGAAAGAUAGGACACUGGAUGCUGCUGUUGCUGGUGAGAGGGAUCUUAAGGCAGCUGGAAUCCUUGUUUCACUCAUUUAUUCUUCUUCUGAAUGCUGCGUUCCCAUAUACCAUCUUUCUCGACAUCGCGGACAACUUGGUCUUCCCCAUGACCUUAAGCUCUCCACUUUUAUCAGAAGGUAUCCUAAUAUUUUUACUGAGUCCUUUUUUCAUGAUAGUGGAGGCACUCCUGUCCCGUGUUUCGGCUUGAGUCCUGAAGCGUUGAAGCUCCACCGUGAGGAAGUCAGCAUACUUGAGCAAAAUCGGUUGGAACUCAGGGACAGGCUAUGCAAAUUGCUCAUGCUCACAAGAGAUAGGAUCCUUCCACUGCAAACCAUUGACCAGUUGAAAUGGGACUUGGGUUUACCGUAUGAUUACCAGCAUUCUUUUGUUCCGAAUCACCCCGAAAGGUUCUCUUUCGUUCGGCUCCCUGAUGAUCGUGCUGGCUUGAAAUUGUUAUUUUGGGAUGACGAGCUUGCCAUCUCAGAGUUACAGAAGAAUAUUUCUCUGCAACAAAAUGAAGAAGACAUAAAAAACGGAUCCUUAGCAUUUCCAGUUAGUUUCACAAGGGGUUUUGGUUUGAAGAGAAAGUGCAUGGAGUGGUUGAAAGAGUGGCAGAAACUUCCCUAUACUUCGCCUUACACCAAUGCAUCGCAUUUGGAUCCUCGUACUGAUGUAUCUGAGAAGAGGGUCGUUGGAGUCUUUCAUGAGCUCCUUCACCUCACACUUCAUAAGCAAACCGAGCGUAAGAAUGUUAGCAACUUACGUACACCCUUGGCCCUUCCUCAGAAGUUCACUAAAGCGUUCGAGCGUCAUCCUGGUAUUUUUUACAUAUCCAGGAAGAGUGACACCCAAACAGUUGUUCUAAGGGAGGCCUUCAAUGGUCGGGAACUAAUGCAGAAACAUCCUCUUGUGAAAAUUAGAGAGGAAUUUGCAAGUCUACUGAAGAAAGGGCUACUCGAUCGGAGUAGGGGCGUGUACAAAAAACGCAUAGAUGCUAAUUGCGUGGAGGGAGCGAGAAAGGAAGUUCGCAUCACUCAAAAUACUAGCCAGCUUAAUUCUGAUGAUGAAUUAGAUUCUAUGUUUUCUGAAUAUGAUUCAGAUGAUGACCCUCUACAUAACCCUAGCUGAUGUAUCCCAAUGUUGAUUCUCCUUGCUUGCCAUUGUGUUGUUGUGGUUUGGCUUAGUGAGAUUCUCGAAAUCUGGCCUUGAUGGGAUGCUUUCAUCACACCGUGCGCCAACUUCGUCCACUUAACUUGUGAAGAUCUGUCAGCAGCCAAAUAUAUCAACAGUGUUAUUAUCUUAGCGAGGGAGAGCAUAUUGUGUUAAGAUAAGAUUCUGGAAUGAGGGUGCCAGCUCAAUCUGGUUAGAAGAUUAGUGGCAUGGUUAAGAUGGACGCAGAUCUCCAAGUUGCAAACAUCCCUGACUGGGGUGAGACAAAGCUCUAUGCCGCUUAGUUUUGCCAUGACGUGUGAGGAUACUUGCUUUUUCUGUUAUGAGAAGAAAAAUUAGGAUCUUACCAAGCCAGAAAAGUUAUGGUGCCCUCAUAACAUGAUCAUUGAGAUUGGAUGUGAACAGGCACAGCAUUGCAACUAUCUUACAUUUUUAUGUAUUGGAAACCAAACGAGUUCUUGAACGUUAACGAGGGAGGUUUUAAGUUUUAAGAUCUAACUACAAUUAAGUGGGAGUUAUGCAUGUGUUGAGAGAGCAUUGAAGUUAUGUACUUUUGUCUUC